Molecule: long non-coding RNA, 6046 nt
Organism: Lepidothrix coronata (blue-crowned manakin)
Lineage: Eukaryota; Metazoa; Chordata; Aves; Passeriformes; Pipridae
Exons: 4
Source: RefSeq, a predicted model, not a curated record
UUCUACCAAAACCCAGCAGUUUCGGGUGUGCCCGCAGUGCCUCCUGCCAGCCACGGAGCCGCAACGUGAGUGGAGCAGCACCUCAGGCUCGUCUGUCUGCUCCAGCAACUGAGAGAUGUUGCUUUGCUUCAGCACAAUGGAGUGGGGUUUUGUGAUGAAACCAGCUCUGAUAAAUAAUAAAGGAAAAGUGGAUGUUUCUGCCUCCUGAUUCUGGGACUAACAGCUAAGCUUAUUUCCUGGUUAGUCCCUAUACAAGGUCACAGUCUGGUGCUCACCAAAGGAGAUGAGCUUCCUCAUCUGCGUUUUGAGUGCAAGCACAUGCUGAAAGUGGGAGGAGGGUUUUGCUGAGAUGACAGAAGCAUAUGUGCAGAUAAUGUCUAUUCUUGCAUCUAGCUCUCUUCUGCAAAAUACCAGUGAUCAAGAAGAUGCUGGAGCUUGCAUUGUAGAUUGUUACAUUUAUGGAAUUGAGAACAAGGAUAAAAAUGUAAGUAAAAUGAUAAAAAAAGUCAAGAAGGGGAGAGAGCAAAGACCUGCUUGCGAGCCUUUACCUUGAAGACAUGGCCAUGCAUGCCAGAGGGGUGAAAGGAAUCCCUUUGAGAAGGCAGGAUGGCAAGAAGCCCUCUUCAACCUCUGGAUGUUCAGCACACAAAUCCCUGAGAAGGCCAGGAUUUCUUGAGAAUAUUUUCUUCCAUUAAUUUUUACAGCAAAUAAAGUAGUUGAAGAACGUGGAAAUACUUGGUAGAAGACACGUGGCUAUGGUGCCAGGUACAGAAAGCAAACUGUAGAUUUGUUAUAACUUUUUCCUUACAUUUUAGGUUUGUCCCGAAGAUUAGUUAGCUAGUGAACAGAAAAUAGGUGUAAUAGAAAGGAAAGCAGAAAGAGGACACACUUAACAUCACAGAGUAAGACUUUUUUCUCAUUGGUAUUUCAAGUUGGAUCCUCAAAUCCUUUUUCCAGACUCUAUAGCAAAUAACCAUAUGAGAGGAAGAAAGAUAAAUGUGACUAUAAUGUGCAGGCAAAACUGUGCAUAGCUCAUGCAUAAAACGAUUCUGGAUUUUGAGGUCUACUAAAUCAGUUGAGUUUUAUUGCAAUAUGUUUCUUUGGUUCAUUUGUUCAGGAAGAGAGCAUAUAUUAAAUAUGAAGACAAUAUAUCUAGGAUAAUAAUGAUUUUAUUAGUUAAGAAAGCAAGGAAACUAUGUAAUACCCUAGUAUUCCUUUAUCUGCUUAUCCAGUGCUAGUGUAAUACAUCUUCCUUCUUUAACCAGGAUUCUAAAUGAAUGACAGUCCCAGUAAAUUAUUGAGGUUCUUCUGCCCACUUUAUAAAGGUUACAUCAUCCAACAAAGAUUAAAAAAAAUAAUAAAUGACUCAGGUGGACAAUGAAAUUCUAAAUUUCAAGUAUGAAAUGGCUCAUUCAUGUAAAUUGUACCAUGAAUUGACUUUUUACUUUUAAGACAAAAAUUAAUUCAAAACAAAUUUAUAGCACUUCCCCUGUAGAAAAUUUGCUGCAGGAAAGGACUGAGUUCACUGAAUAAAUAAAAUCCCCCACCCCUAAAUAUAUAACGCAUUAAUGCAAGAUAUCUUCAUAUUGAUCUGCUGCCAAACAGUCAUGAUGGCUUAUUUCUUUUUGUCUAAAGUGUAAGUUUUUAAGCCAUCAGCUGACAGUAUUUUUCUUUAUUGGCUUGGGUUGGACCGUGCUCACUUACUAUGGGUGGACAUUAAACAUUUUGUUUGAAUACACUGAAAAGACUUUAAAAAGCCUUCCAGAUAUCCCAGCUUUCAAAAAUUCCCAUCUCUCAUUAAAGAUGUGCCAAAGCACAGUUUUAAUUAAUAGCCCUGAGUGAUUUUUUUUUAAUGUCAAGAUUUUAAUAGAAAAAUGAAUUAGCAGAAACUUUGAACAAACUUUUCAGUAAUUUAAUUUUUUUACAUUUAAUGUUUAAUAUAAAUUUGAUGUUGAAGAGCAGUUCUGUUCCAUACUGCCUGUGUGCCUGCUUUCUGUUGCUGUAGUACAGCUACUGGACACCAAACUGUGGAGCUCCCAGAUGCUGUGUAACCUGUUUAGGAGAGGUGAGCUCAUUCCUGUGGUUUCACAAGUCCCUUCAGAGAGGCUUUCUGUCACUCGUACAAAUGGAGGCAGGUGUCCCAAGGUCUUUCUCACGACUAGAGAACUGUUUCAGAGAUUUUACCAUGCAGGAAUUCAUGGCAGAGGCAGAGAUUUGAGAGUUGUGUGGGAAGAAGUUGCCAGCCUGGCUCCCGAGCUUGGGUCCACUGCAAGUGGCAGGUGUUCCUUCCAGCAGUGCCACGCGGUGGCACAUCCCUGUCACUCAGAGAGCGCCUGUGCACGGAGGAGGACUGUGGGAGGAAACACCUGCUCAGCCAUUUGAGCUGUGCCUCAUGCCAAGCCACGUGGAGCUGUCAGUGGCUUUGUAAUGCAUUUGAUCUGUGCUGUGUACUCACAAAUAUUGCUGCUGUCCGGGCUGGAUUUAAUUUUGGGGGGAUUGAAAGAAAGUACUUUGGGAAGGACUGUAUGAGGAGAAGACACAUAAACCUUUCUUCCUGACUCAACUUUGUUAUUUUCACAAAUGUGGAACACAUUUGGUCGGUAUCCCAUUGAUUUGUUUACUGCUUUUGUGUCCCACAUUUGUGGAGGCUUUCCUAACAUAGAUACUUCUCUCAUCUGGCCUGGCUCUGACUACUGCACAGAAACCCCUGGAUAGGUGGGUGGAGUACACGUCCAGGGCAUUUUGGGUGGGCGUGAAAGGGAACACAGUGAACUUUUAAAGUAAUCUGGCCCGUACUUUCAGGCUUGCCUGUGGCUCAAGUGUAAAAAUUAUGGGAUCUGUUUGGGAAGUGAUGUUAGUAUCAGCUGUAAGUGCUUACCUUGGUUGCACACAGCUCACUCUUUACAUGAUCUGCCCCUGGAUGUGGAAUAUUACAGCACUGUUGCAAAUUAUUUUGUCUGUGUGCUUUGGAAAGUAUGCAGUAUGGCUCGCUUUCAAACAUCACUUCUGUUAUAAAAAUCAGUGGCUCCUACAGUGACCCGAAACUAGUCAGGUAGGAUUUUAAAGAGCAAAGAAUUUCACAGAUGGCUGAUUUGUUUCUUCAUUCUGGUAUGUGGAAAUAGUUCUGUGUUUCAAAAAAAUAUUUCCCCCUUGCAUUUUAGAUAAGACUAUUACUAGUUUUUCAUAUAAACACAAUUCCCAGUUUGGGUGGGAUGUAUUUCAGUCAAAUAAAACUGAAAGAAGGAAGAAACCCAUCCUCUCAGCUCAGCCUUUUUCCAGCCAGAGCCCUCUCCCAUGAGUCUUCCUGCUAACCAUCAUUUCAGCUGGUCUUGCCCUCUUCAAAUAUGCUGAGGAGUUAAGUACAAUCUAGCUCCACUGCCCUAACACCUGACAUAUCUGCCAGAAGGGCUGGGAGGUCUAAAGAGGGUAUUUUUUUUUCCUAUGUAUAACCUGAGGCCUAGUGUACAGACCCUGUUAUACUGUAGUCUUUCAGAAAUGGAUUGACUUCACUGAAAUGCCUCUGCAAUGGCCCAGAAGAAGACACUUCCCCAGAAGCAGUUGCCUAGGAUGCAUCAUUCUUGGCAGUAUCUGCAAAUAAACUUCUUGUAAUUGAUUUAAUAAUUUUCAAAUAAAAAAAUUAUGAUAGCUGUGGACAGCUAUAAAUAACAGAAAUGAAACACAUUAUUUGCACUGCGCCUUCACAUGCACUUGUUUAGCUCUUUCUGCUGUUAAGUUAAAACAUCUGUUUCUAUGGAAGUGGAGCAUUCCAUGCAACAAACACAGCACUGGAAGUGACCCACAUAUUAAAUGACAACAUUUGACAAAUUCUAGCAGUUGAUUACUGGGGAGGAGUAGACUGUGGUUAUAAUCAGAGUAAACCAAAAAAAUGUGUACCUUUAUAAACCUAGAGUUUAAAUGAAACAUCUGUACUAAAUCAUGAUUGUAGAACAGCACUGUAGCCAACUACCAGACCAUAUGAUAAUGGGGUGUUUUUAACGAUCCCUAUUUCCAUCGCAUCCUCCAAAUCAGAUCCAGACUGUGCCCACUGGCAUGAAUUCUGCUGGAAACCAAUUGGGAUAGUGUCAGGCUACAGUGAAUAUUGUAAGUUUAGAUACAGAUACCCAUAAAAUUUAGUGAUUCCAAUGCCUUAUGGAGAUUAUAAGCACAGGUAGAAACUCAGGUGAAUAUUAGCAGUAGUUUUGUAGGCUACAGACUUUUCCAGUCAUGUUUUAACCCCUAGAAAUGGGGGAUAUGUUGCAGUGACUGUGGAAUCUUAUUUGUAAGGAAAUAUGAGUGUAUAGCAAGAAAGUGAGUAUUAGAAUUACAGCAGUGGGUCAGCUGGUGAUAAAGUAAGAGUAUUGAGUCUGGCACCAAACCCAGGUUUGGCAGCUCGCUUAAACAUAAUUCUUUGGGUCUGUGAAACUGGUAUGCAAAAGUCAAGUAAGUACAACUGUCUUUGAGUGCUUUCCAUUGCUGUUAAGUGGAUACAAAGCAAAAGAAAACUAGUUUAGUCUAGCUCUUUAUGUAGAUUCUUAAACUGAUGUUCAUUAAUAGCAUCUGAACAUACACAUUUUGUUAUUACUGCAGAAUAUUCUAUGAAUUAAUUAAAAAACACAAGCAAAUGCCCGAACUUUGUAUUAGCUCUACAUAGUCACUACAAUCUUUCAAAAACGGGGAAAAAAAAAGCAAACCCACUCUGCAACUGAACUACAUUUUUAGUUUUAGGUGGCCUACAGUAGAAAAAUUGCUGUUGUGUUACGAAGAUCUGUUCAUAAUUCCUUUACCAAAAUGAGUGAUGUUCAAUAAAACUGAAAUAUUGAAAGAGUGAAAUGUUUCUGAAGUGAUGAUCUAGAAAUAGUUAAUUUGGACAUGUAAGGUUCUCAUUGGGAACAAGUAGAUGAGUGCUGUUUGGCAGGAAUAAAAGGACAGGCUACAUUAAUAGGGAGCAAAUAAUACAAUGAGUGGUAGUGUCUAAAUUUAGCGUUAGCAGGACAUACUGAAAAUACUAUAAUAAUCAAAGUAUCUCAUUUAUUAUAGCUAACCUGUCAGGGCAUUAUGUCCAUCAGGAGUUAAUGGGAUUCUUAUUUAAUAGAGUCACAGAAUGGUUUGGGUUGGAAGGGAUCUUGAAGAUCACCUAGUUCCAACCUCCUUGCCAAGGGCAGAGACAACUUUGACCACUCAAAGCCCAUCCAGCCUGGCCUUGAAUGAUUCCAGGGGUGGGGCAUCCACAACUUCUCUGGGCAACCCAUUCCAGUGCCUCACCUCUCUCACAGUAAAGAAUUUCUUCUUACUACCUAAUGUAAGCCUAUUCUCUUUCAGCCUAAAGCCAUUCCCCCUUGUCCUGUCAGUACAUGUCCUUGAAAAAGUCCCUCUUCAUUUCUGUUGUAGGCUCCCUUCAGGUACUGCAAGGCUGCUAUAAGGACAAGGGACAAGUUUUUAAGAUAACAUGCAAGUUGUAAAAUGGGGGGUUAGGGAAAAAUCUAUAGGGUAUUCAUUUAAAAUAUAAAGUUGAUGGAUUUUUGUGGUCCGAUACUUCAUUUUAAACAUUCUAUUUAAUUUUGCAAAUAGUGAAUGAGAAGUUUAACUACUUAGACCACCACCACUGCUACUGAAUUCUAGAAUAACAACAGGAAAGUGGACAACCAGUGUCACCAAUGUGCUUAAAUACACAAGAAAUUCUGAAAUAAAAACUUUGAUUACUUUGAAAUAAACACUAAACUGGGAGGUGGGGAGAUGGGGUGUGGGGAAAUGUUAAAGCUUAAAAGACUUAGAAAUACCAGAUCAUCUUUGGGUUUAUAUUUUAUUAAAACUUUUUCACAGAUUUCUAAAUGUUAUUGUCACAAGAGACUAUUAGAUCAUCUCGCCUGACUUGAUCUUGCAUAAAAGCAAUGUCUAGAAUGUCUAGAGAACCUCUGAGAGGGCUUUUCCUCAUUUGAUACUGUGUAACUAAUAACAUACAGUGCCUUUACACAAAAUUAAAUGCCAUAUCAUAUAGAUACUUAAUGAAAUAAUUCUCACAAUAUAUUUUGUGCACACCUAUUUUGAU